RNAcentral lists this ribosomal RNA (301 nucleotides) under uncultured bacterium. RNAcentral describes it as "partial 16S ribosomal RNA". It matches the Rfam family "Bacterial small subunit ribosomal RNA", at positions 509 to 807 of the family's 1533-position model. The record is from RNAcentral.
CAGUCGCCACGGUAAUACGGGGGGGGCAAGUGUUAUUCGGAAUGACUGGGCGUAAAGGGCACGUAGGCGGUUAUAUAAGACAGAUGUGAAAUCCCCGGGCUCAACCUGGGAACUGCAUUUGUGACUGUAUAGCUAGAGUACGGCAGAGGGGGAUGGAAUUCCGCGUGUAGCAGUGAAAUGCGUAGAUAUGCGGAGGAACACCGAUGGCGAAGGCAAUCCCCUGGGCCUGUACUGACGCUCAUGCACGAAAGCGUGGGGAGCAAACAGGAUUAGAUACCCGGGUAGUCCCUGUCUCUUAUAC